Molecule: ribosomal RNA, 497 nt
Filed under: uncultured bacterium
Lineage: Bacteria
Description: partial 16S ribosomal RNA
Rfam family: Bacterial small subunit ribosomal RNA
Source: RNAcentral
GAUGAACGCUGGCGGCGUGCCUAAUACAUGCAAGUCGAGCGAACGGACGAGAAGCUUGCUUCUCUGAUGUUAGCGGCGGACGGGUGAGUAACACGUGGAUAACCUACCUAUAAGACUGGGAUAACUUCGGGAAACCGGAGCUAAUACCGGAUAAUAUUUUGAACCGCAUAGUUCAAAAGUGAAAGACGGUCUUGCUGUCACUUAUAGAUGGAUCCGCGCUGCAUUAGCUAGUUGGUAAGGUAACGGCUUACCAAGGCAACGAUGCAUAGCCGACCUGAGAGGGUGAUCGGCCACACUGGAACUGAGACACGGUCCAGACUCCUACGGGAGGCAGCAGUAGGGAAUCUUCCGCAAUGGGCGAAAGCCUGACGGAGCAACGCCGCGUGAGUGAUGAAGGUCUUCGGAUCGUAAAACUCUGUUAUUAGGGAAGAACAUAUGUGUAAGUAACUGUGCACAUCUUGACGGUACCUAAUCAGAAAGCCACGGCUAACUACGUG